This 894-nucleotide ribosomal RNA is filed under the name Triticum aestivum (bread wheat). RNAcentral's name for it is "partial small subunit ribosomal RNA". Lineage: Eukaryota; Viridiplantae; Streptophyta; Magnoliopsida; Poales; Poaceae. The record is from RNAcentral.
AUGGAAGAAGAUCAGGUUAAAUUAGCAGCACUCAUCGCGGAGCUAGAGGAGCCAGUUGGUCUUUGCGACUUGCCAGCAAUUGACCCUCCUAAUACUAAGAGAAAGAAGGGAAGGGCAAUAAAGAAUUUUUCUGAGUGGAUAGAGAAAGAGCCUCCAAUGAAUUGGUCUUUGCUGCAUGACACACAUGGAGCUAGGUAUGGCCACAUGACAACCAAUCUUGCAGAGGUGUAUAACUUUGUGCUGAGAGGGAAUAGAGCAUUGCCACUCACAGCUAUUGUGGAGGCUGUAUUCCAUGGCACUUUGAGAUAUUUCAGAGAAAGGCACGAGUUAGCAAAGAAGCAUAUUGAAGAUAAUCAGAACACACCUUAUUGUAGCCGUGUCAUGGAAUACAUGGCAAAGAAGAUAGAGAAAGCAAAGAAGCACAAUGUCAGACUCAUAGGGAAUGAAGAAAGGAGGUAUGAGGUUCAGCUUCCUACCGAUGGUUUUGGUUCUGGAAAUGAGGUGAAGACACACGAGGUUAAAAUUGGAACGGAAUUUUAUCCAACGUGUGAGUGUACAUGCAACAAACCGAAGUUGCUGCACCUACCUUGCUCUCAUGUGUUGGCUGCCUGUGGCCAGAUUCAGUUGGAUGCUAUAUCCUUCGUGUCCCCAUACUAUUUAAAAGAGGCAGUGCUCAACACCUGGACAGGCGAGAUGACAAGGUUUAGAGUCGUCGGCAAUUUCAACAAGGUAAACGACGGUGAGAGAGUAUACAUCCCGCAUCCAGACCUUCGGCGAACAAGUAGGGGCAGACGAAAGGCCCGUCGCAUCCGGAACGAUAUGGACCAGUCUGAAGCUGGUGGAGCAACCAGACAAUGUUUGUUAUGCGCGGCUUAUGGGCAUAGGAUGAAAUAU